UAAAAUUGGUUUGAAGUUUCUGUGGAGUUGAUUCCAACAAAUUUACAAUCAGCAGCUUUUAUUUUACUCUCUGGAAUGCACUGAAGAGUUGUUACAAUUAAAUCUAACCAAAAGACUUGUUGGAUAUAAUGAAGAAAUUGUGGAUAUGAAGUUUUUGGGGGAUGAUGAAAAAUUCCUAGCCCUUGCUACAAAUCUUGAACAGGUUUUUCUUUAAGCAUUGCAAUCUCACCGCUUCAAGGUUAGUAGAAACAAGUAUUUCAUUUUUUCUAAUUCAUUAUUUAUUUGUAUUUUCCAUGAAUAUUGUAUUCUUUUUCAUGUGUUAGUGUAUUUUAUUUUGUUUAGGAAUAUUUUUGAAUGGAUAAAUCUUGGAUAACUAAGCCCUGAAAUACAGUUGAAUACUCAAUUGGUUUGCAAAAAUUCUUAGAUUUUGCUUUUGAGAAUGAGGCCUCUGGAGACACAAUUCGAUGUCCAUGCCCCAAAUGUGGGUUUGUGAAAUGGCAAGCUAGAGGCAUAGUUGAGGAGCACUUGAUUUUAAAACAAUUUCCCAUAAAUUAUGUUAUUUGGAAUCUUCAUGGUGAGAGGCAAAGACAAGAUAUUUCUAGAAAUGAAGAUGAGUCACAA
Vigna radiata var. radiata (mung bean) is the source of this 621-nucleotide long non-coding RNA. RefSeq lists it as uncharacterized. The record is from RefSeq and is a predicted model, not a curated record. The transcript has 3 exons. Lineage: Eukaryota; Viridiplantae; Streptophyta; Magnoliopsida; Fabales; Fabaceae.